UAACCUGCCCAUCAGAGGGGGAUAACAUUCGGAAACGGAUGCUAAAACCGCAUAGGUCUUCGAACCGCAUGGUUUGAAGAGGAAAAGAGGCGCAAGCUUCUGCUGAUGGAUGGACCCGCGGUGCAUUAGCUAGUUGGUGAGGUAACGGCUCACCAAGGCCGUGAUGCAUAGCCGACCUGAGAGGGUGAUCGGCCACAUUGGGACUGAGACACGGCCCAA
Molecule: ribosomal RNA, 219 nt
Filed under: uncultured bacterium
Lineage: Bacteria
Also listed under: 1 other name
Description: partial 16S ribosomal RNA
Rfam family: Bacterial small subunit ribosomal RNA
Source: RNAcentral